This 439-nucleotide long non-coding RNA is filed under the name Homo sapiens (human). RNAcentral describes it as "non-protein coding lnc-NPVF-4:1". The record is from RNAcentral. Lineage: Eukaryota; Metazoa; Chordata; Mammalia; Primates; Hominidae.
CUGUCGUCUCCUGUGGUAACAGUGCCUUCUUCUAGAAUGCCUCCUAGAUGACCUGCCUGAGGCUGUUUACAGGAUUGGCUGUAUAAUUUGUGGGGCCCAGUGCAAAAUGAAAAUGCAGAACCCCUGUAUGCGGAUUACUAUGAAUCUCAAGACGGCAAUAGCAAAACAUUAAGUGCAGAGCCUUUAUAUGUAUGGAGCCCAGUGUGAAGUCGAUCCUGCCCCUCUGAAAGACUGAACAGCGUGUUCAGGGUAGCAGCCACCUUGAGAGCACAGCUGGAGCAGGUCCACAGCGCAGAGAGGAGCCUGCCUUCCUCUCCACAUCUUAGUUUAUGGGACCAGUUAACAUGCUCACAUGCACACAAACACACAUGCACAAACACACACACAAACACCUGGACAGGUAGUUCCAAGAACCCUCUGACAGAAGUGUUCAGCAGAA